GAUGAACGCUGGCGGCGUGCUUAACACAUGCAAGUCGAACGGGAAUUACUUUAUUGAAACUUCGGUCGAUUUAAUUUAAUUCUAGUGGCGGACGGGUGAGUAACGCGUGGGUAACCUGCCUUAUACAGGGGGAUAACAGUCAGAAAUGGCUGCUAAUACCGCAUAAGCGCACAGAGCUGCAUGGCUCGGUGUGAAAAACUCCGGUGGUAUAAGAUGGACCCGCGUUGGAUUAGCUUGUUGGUGGGGUAACGGCCCACCAAGGCGACGAUCCAUAGCCGGCCUGAGAGGGUGAACGGCCACAUUGGGACUGAGACACGGCCCAGACUCCUACGGGAGGCAGCAGUGGGGAAUAUUGCACAAUGGGGGAAACCCUGAUGCAGCGACGCCGCGUGAAGGAAGAAGUAUCUCGGUAUGUAAACUUCUAUCAGCAGGGAAGAUAGUGACGGU
This 447-nucleotide ribosomal RNA is filed under the name uncultured bacterium. Its description in RNAcentral is "bacterial SSU rRNA". It matches the Rfam family "Bacterial small subunit ribosomal RNA", at positions 28 to 458 of the family's 1533-position model. The record is from RNAcentral.